CGGGGUGAGUAACGCGUGAGCAAUCUGCCUUUGGAUGGGGGAUAACAGCCGGAAACGGCUGCUAAUACCGCAUAAUGCAACGGGACCGCAUGGUUCUGCUGCCAAAGAUUUAUUGUCCAAAGAUGAGCUCGCGUCUGGUUAGCCAGUUGGCGGGGUAACGGCCCACCAAAGCGACGAUCAGUAGCCGGACUGAGAGGUUGAACGGCCACAUUGGGACUGAGACACGGCCCAGACUCCUACGGGAGGCAGCAG
RNAcentral lists this ribosomal RNA (252 nucleotides) under uncultured bacterium. RNAcentral's name for it is "partial 16S ribosomal RNA". It matches the Rfam family "Bacterial small subunit ribosomal RNA", at positions 100 to 354 of the family's 1533-position model. The record is from RNAcentral.